GGGGGAGCAGGUAAAGGGUUAGCGUGGGGGAGUAGGUACAAGGUUAGCGUGGGGGAGAAGGUACAGGGUUAGCGUGGGGGAGCAGGUACAGGGUUAGCGUGGGGGAGCAGGUACAGGGUUAGCGUGGGGAAGCAGGUACAGGGUUACGUUGGGGAGCAGAUACAGGGUUAGCGUGGGGGAGAAGGUACAGGGUUAGCACUGAGGCUCUACAACCCUGUUUCAGACCCUAAAACUCCAGACUCUUCUCCCCCCUCGGCUUGGCUCUCCACCUCAGACUCUAAGCCUCUAGACUCUCCCUGUCUCUGACCCUAACCCUCCAGACCCUUCUCCUCCUCUCAGCUCCCUGUAUAAGACCCUAACUCUCUAGACCCUCCCUGUCUCUGACCCUAACCCUCCAGACCCUUCUCCUCCCC
Molecule: long non-coding RNA, 413 nt
Organism: Oncorhynchus tshawytscha (Chinook salmon)
Lineage: Eukaryota; Metazoa; Chordata; Actinopteri; Salmoniformes; Salmonidae
Source: Ensembl